GCCGGGAUUACAGGCUUGAACCAUGGCACUCGGCCUGGAUUGAGAUUUUCUUAAUAGUCCUAGAUGCUCUUUGAAAUGUUCCACUGCUAUCUCUGGCAUGAUAUUAUAGGUGUUCCUGCCUGGCACACUGCAGAAACCUGAGGUUGGGAGGCUUGUUAGCUGAAACAUGUAUUGAUCUUAUAUGUAUGAAUCAUUUCCAGUCGGACUCACUAGCCUGAGAUUCCCUGGGGUGUGUGUGCACAUGCAAGCACACUUACAUGUGCAAGACUCAACCCCAAGUCUGAAUUACACACGAGUGACAAAGGGAAUGCGUCUCCAAUUCACCUCUAACUGCUAAGCUCUCUCUCUCCUGUUCUCUUUUUAUGCAGCACCCAUGGACCCUUCUAGCAGACAGCAACUUUUCUCUUUGACUAUAAAUUGAAGGCAAUUCAAUGUUUUACCCCUCAGAUCAGGGAUCAUACUGAAAAAUUCCUUCUGCACGAGCCAGUGUGAGCCUGGCAAGAGGCACAGGAGAUGGUCACCAAGCUUGAUAACGAAAAUAAAUUGUUUUGAAGAGAUCGUUAAAAUUAUGUUAGUAGGAAUUGAAUAUUCAAGGUUACAGAUUUAAUUAAUUAUGAGUGUUUCUUUAGAAUAAUGUAAUAAAUGUUUCCUCUGAGGUUUCUGGUUGAAGCACUGGGCCUCAUCUCAAGAAAGAUUUAAGAGCAUAAAGUAUUUUAAUUGUAUAGAUUGCAAGAGAGGGCAUUUAAAAUAUGCAGAGUAAUUGACACCUUCUCAAACCCCAGAUGCAACCCUAUUUCUAACUGAUAAGGUGAUAUCCUGGAGCCUCCAUACAAGAAGUAGUUUUGCCCAACAAAUGGGAGAAGCCCCUUUGACAGCGUGAAAUUCCAGUCACGGUGAUGUAGCUCUAAGGAAUCCCAGGUGAGCCCAUUCUCUCACAGCCUGAAAGCAGAACAUGCAGCAAUGAAAAUGUCCAAUGCAGCUAGGACUUUUGUCACUCCAUCUUUCUCUUUCUGCCUCAUCUGAAGGGUAAAUGACUUUGUGUUGUGUAAAAACAUUUCACACCCCCUGUAAGAAGUGGGAAUAAGGAGGCAUGGGUAGCAGCAGUGAAGAGGUUUGAAUGUCAUUCUUUCUCAUUUGAAUAACUACCUUAAGAGUCCCCUUCUGUAGGAGUUAAGACCUCAAGUUUUAUACAAAAGAGCCUUGGUCUGCAUGCGAUGUCCUCCCAGGCUUAGUUCACAUUUUAAGAAAACUUCAGGGUGAGUGUAAUUCUUACUAUAAAGGAAUGAACCAAUACUAGUUGAAUCUUAGGCACCCGAACAGGCAGUUUGAGAAAGUUGGGUAUGAUUUCCCUGGCUCCUUUCAAGUCACACCACAAGCAACUGCCUGGCACACAAGACAGACCUCUGUGCAUACAGAUGCAUGUGUGGUGUGUAGUGGGAAGUUUGCUUUGGCUGGUCGUGGAGGGAUCCAUUUGUCUGGGGAGGUCUGGACAGCCAGUGGAGGCACUGCCUCCCUUGCCAUCUUAGCAGCUUUAAGAGGGUGGAGUAUUUUUCUUUGAGGCUAAGGUUGGCACAGAUAACUUCCUCACCGAAAUUUUCUGCCAGACUGAGUUUGGUGGGUUUUUUUUGGUUUGUUUUUUUGUUUUUUUGUUUUUUUUUCAUUAUUCCACCCACCCCUCACCCCACCCUCCAAUCUUUGGUUGUUUCUGGCUUUUUGGCAUCUGUUCCCUGGGUCGUAUUUUUUCCUUCCUGAUGCAGUGGAUGCAAAGAUACGCUUUCUCUUGGGUGAAAUUUACAAGCACAUUUUCCUCCUUGACAGAAACAAAGAGCCACAAAGAUUUCCUAGGGAGAGAAAAAAGCUUCCAGAUGCAGGGCUCCAAAUGUGAGGGUUUUUUUCCCUUUGGCAUUUUUUAAGCUUAAUAAUUACACUGGACAUAUUUAUUCAGAAGAAGGCCCACAGUUUUCAUCCUAACAGGGACUUCAUUAAAAUUUCCAAGUAACAAAUACAUCUUUUCUCUGAUGCCUGGGUUCCAUGCCAUUUACCUCUAUCUUAAAGAAGUUACCUCUGAGACCUUGAGUUUCAACUCUGACUAGAGAUGCAAGGCGAUAGGGAAAGGUCCUUUUUUCCUCUCUUUUUUCUUAGCCAUGGUGCAGAAUAAUAAAAGAAAAGGAAUUCCUAAACUCUUGAACUGUUAGCAAACUUCUUUUAAUUAUCUCUAGUUAAAGGGCAACUGAGAAGACAAUUAUAAAUGUCAAGAAGAUUGUUCAACAAACUUUUAUAACCCACAGCACACUUUUAUAUUUUUAAAAGUGAUUAAAGCGUUCUAAUUGGUAUCAUUUUCUAUUUCAGAAUAGUACUUUCCAAGACUUAAAAAAAUGCUUCAGUUUAUAAGACCUGUAAUCUAAAAUUUUCACUAACCAUAAUCAGAAUAAUGUAUGGGAAAUACUUAGUUCAUAUAUGGAAAAUCAUCCACAUUUUAAAAAAAAGUUUUGAAGAAACUUUUUAAAAAGUUGUAGCUACUUAUGUUUGAUUAGAAAAACAUUUCUCUUGUGUGUGUUGGUAAAACAGACUAAGUUCUAAGAAAUCUUUAUGGCUAUAUAUCUUACAUCUAUUGAUAAGCAAGCAUGAAGAUACUUAAUUCAGGUAAAGGGCUUUAGCCCAUUUUUAUUCUAAUGGGAAUAAUACUAAUGUGUAUAUGAAUCCAUUUUUGCUGCAGUUGGGCUGGGGCCAGAAUGAUAUUCUGUAUUUCUAACGAGCUCCCAGGAGAUGCCAAUGUUGCCAUCCUUGGACCACGCUGAGUAGCGAGAAUGCAGAGGACAGCAUGUCUACCUUUUCCUGAGCCUCCUUUCAAAGGAUGAGAUACGGGAAUACUGGUAUCACACAGCCCCGAGAAUCCUGAGGUGGGAGCAGGGGAGGCUGAACCCUCUAGAUGUACCCUGAGUAUGUUUUUACAGUGGGUUCAAGUAUUUUAAUCUGCUGUUCAAAAAAUACAUGAAUUCGUCCUCAGUUCAAAGCCAUAGGCUAGCUACUGUAUGAUGUGACACAAUUCUGUAUAACAUAAAUACAGUAAUCUCAUUAAAUUUAACAUCUGUGCCCUAAUCAUCACCUCUUUAAGGACUAAAAUAUUCUCCAGUGUUGUUGCUUUCUCCCCACUGUUUGAGGGAAAAAAAGUAAACCUAUAGAAAAGUUGAAAGAAUUACAUGACAACUUUAAACCCUUCCCCAGAUUUACCAAUUAUUAACAUGCUGCUGUGCUUUCUGUCUCUCUCCUUACCCAUCUAUGUGUGUAUAUAUAUGUGUGUAUGAUAAAUAUUUAUUUAGUUUAUUUUCAUGUUUUUAUCUGAAUAAUUUAAAAAUAAAUUGCAGCUCUCCAUUGCUUUUUAUCAUGUUAUCAUUUGUUUCUGUUAACAAGUUCGGCUGCAAACUGAAUUGCUGACUGAGAGUCAUGUGUGUGUGCAGGAAACCAAGGUGGCUUGGAGUUUCCCAGACUUUUUAGGUUCACGUUUACAGAGGAGAAAGCAAAUGGUGGAAACUCUUGUUUCUCUUUAAAAAUCUUUGACAGUUCAUCCUUAUGUUCUACCCAGUUACCUCACUCCACACUGCCUUUAUGAUCCCACUAGUGACCACCAAAGAGAGGGAAUCUAAGAGAGAAAGCAGAGAAUAACUUAUUCUGCUAAACCCAACACAAAUGAAAGGUAAAUAUCUAGAAGAUAACCUGCUGGAUCAUGAGGAGAUAGAGAUUGCAUCUGACUGGGACUAAGCAACCCUCGGAAGCACCAAACCUCACCUCCCUUCUCAACACCUGACUCCGGCCUAGGGCCUUCCCACUGAGGUAGAAAUUCUUAUGGACUGGAAUCUUCCUCAAGGCUUACUUUGUUCCUGGGAUGCAGUGGUGCAUAGAAGAUAGGGCAUUGACUCACUCAGACCUGGCUUGCCCAGCAUGCAUUGCAACAAUGAUGUGCAAGUUAUUAAAGACAUGAGUGAAUUCGUAAGUAUAGUGUAAUUUGAGAUUUCCUAUGCAAGGUAUUCUAGAAAUGCCAAGUAUCUUGUUUACAACAAACCAAAAACUGAAAUGUUGGUUGUCAUGUUCACUACCACAUAGAAAAUACACAGUGAAAGACUUUCACAUUUUCAGUAAAA
This is a long non-coding RNA of Homo sapiens (human), 4139 nucleotides long. RefSeq lists it as uncharacterized. The transcript has 4 exons. NCBI's taxonomy places the organism in Eukaryota, Metazoa, Chordata, Mammalia, Primates, Hominidae. The record is from RefSeq and is a predicted model, not a curated record.